GCUCAUCUCAUUUGGGCAGCCAAACAAAUUUUGGGCAGCUGAGAUGUGGAUUCAAAAUUUGAAUCCCUCACUCAUCCCAAUCCCAAGACACUUAUCAUACGCAUACUCUUCACAUGCUUUUCUGUUCCUAUUCUUUCUUCUCCCAGAGAAACCCUAAAACACAAAUGAAGUCAGAUUUUGUAGAUUCCAAUUACUUCUCAUUCUCAACAAAAUCGACUUCUCAUUUUUAUCAAAAUCACCCCGGAAUUAUUCAACGAUUUGGAUGAACAAAGAUCCAUCCAACUCACAUCCAAGUUCCGAAAACUCAAGAUCUAGGAUUUAAUUUCAUGUCUGGAUUAAACUGAUUAGGAUGACAGAUCUACAGUUCGUGAUUGCACUUGGUUGAGGGUUUCGAACAGUGCGUGGUUAUGGCGUCUGCAGAUGCUGAGCUGGAGCGACUGCUUAAGGAGACAGGGAAACAGUUAUCGCUUCCUCAUGAUUAUGUUGAUGAACUUCUUCAUGUUCUUGAUUUUUCUUAGUUACAGCCGGAGAACUUUCGUGGAAGAGAAUGGUUGAAUAAGCUGGCGAUGAUGAAGACAGUUCAGAAGGGCACCGUGAAUCUGUGAGUUAAUACACCUCUCGAAAUCUUCAGUUUGAGUGGAUUCGCUCAGAUGUUAUUCUAGGGUUUCUAUGUGGAGAAGAAACGCGUGAUUGGUGGUUGGAUCUCAUAAAAGGAAUGAGUUGUUGACAAUAAGACAUGAAUCUGAUGGAAAGGUAUGUGUUUCUGUUUUUCACUAAUACCCUUUUUUGAUUUAGAACUUGAUUUUCAGUGAUGCUUAUCUAGAUCUAAGUCUGUUAUUAGUGUGCGGAAGUUAGAAUUACAACAGUUGGGUUCUUUUUUUAACCUAUUGAUCUGAUUCAAGUGGGUGGUGAUAAAGAAUUUUUUUUUUACUUUUUUUUAUUUUGGUCAAAUUAUGGGUAUGGGAGAAUUGAGCUUAAGAUGAUUGAAAACAAGAUAAACAGGCAAGUGACUUUCGCAAAAAGAAGACAUGGACUGCUGAAGAAAGCAUAUGAACUCUCUGUACUUUGUGAUGUUGAGGUGGCUCUUAUUAUCUUCUCCAACCGUGGGAAGCUUUAUGAGUUCUGCAGCACCUCCAAGUACACUUUUUUACUAUGUGUUUGUGUGUGCUUUUGUAGAUCUGAGAUGGGUUUUGUGUUUCUUGAUGUAUAGAUAUAUAAUCAUGUGGUUAUUUGUUAGUUUAGUGUGGUUUGUGUAGAAGAAGAUUCUCAAGUUGGAAUGUCGUUGUUAGGAUCACACUGGUUGAAUCUGAAGGUUCCGGAGCCUGCUCAGGCGUUGCAGAAUCUGCCGGUGCAUCUACGGGCAGAUAUAAGUAUGGAAGCCAUGAAUCAAGUCAAAAGGAGAAAAACGAUGUUCAGAAGGUGGAUAUCUGAUUUAAAUAUUGUGAUAUACCUUCAGUGAAAAGACUUAAGGUUCAGGCGCGUCCUCGAGCUAUCAUUGGUGGACAAACAGUUGUAUCUAAUCACUAUCCGCUCUAUUCGGGCAGGCUGCACCUCAAGAGAUUUGUAAAAAACGUUCUUGAUUUGGGCCCAAACCAACAACCAACCAAAUUAGACCAGUUGAAUGUGACUGAUUUGGACAAAAUAAAAUCCAGUAAAAAAAACCUACCUACAAUUUAAAAAAAACAACAAUACAAUUGACUAGAUUUGCUGGGUCAACUGGAUUGGCAAAAGCGGUUUGUUUUGACGUUUCGAUAAAGAUAGUUCAUGAUAUUGUGCAGAUACACGUUCUAAAAAAAUAGAUAUAAAUAAGAAAUUUUGUUUACACGUGUUCCACAUUUUUUGGUCUAAUUUGGUAUUGAUAUCGAUUGUUAAUAGAUAUGUCGAUUUUUUUGGUCUUUUUCGUGCAAAGGGACUCUUUCCACUAUGUUUUCUUUAAACGUGUUACACAUUUUUUAUCCGAAUUUUUUAACCUUUUGUUUGAAAAAGCUAAGAAUGUAUGUCCAUUUAUUGGGUAUGUUGAUAACUCAACAUCUAUGUCAACAACUUAUUACCUUUAUGGUCAUGAUGUUUGUGUUUCCUUAGAUACACCUUUAAAUAUAUCAACCUGACCGCUGUGGCGCUGUGGCGCUGUUCCGCUUUUAAAAUUUCAUCUUAAAUCUUUUACAAAGGUAAUCUUUUCUAAUGAGUGCAGAUCUAUAGUUAUGCCAUUUAUGUUUAGCUGUGAAAUUUUAAAUGGUUUUUUUUCUGUGUUUAACAGCAUCAAGAUUACUAUUUAAAAGGUGGCUUGAUUUGAUUAUUUUUAAAAUGGUUUUUUACUGUGCUUUUAGCACAACUAGAAACUAAGUAAUCACAUAACAAAUUUUAUUAACCACAUGGACCUGCAAUACCGACCCGGUUCCCACCUUACCCGAACCACAGGUACAAACCAGUUUCAGACCUGGCCGAAGAAAAAAGAACCGAACCAGAUCCACCUCCAGUGGCGAAGCUUGAGAUUUCCGACCGGGGGGUCGAAAACGUAUAUACCAAAAAUUUCUAUAAAACCGGGGGGUCAAAAACGUAUAUACCCAAAAAUUUCUAUACGAAAACUACAUACUCUCCACUAACGAGCGAAAAGUUCGGGGGGUCGGCCGCCCCCUCCCGCCUCUACAAAGCUACGCCAUUGUCCACCUCUACCCGGUCAAAACCCGGACCUGAACUGGCCAAAACCCAAAAAAACUGCCAAACUUGUAAAAACUCGAACAUGCCGGAACCUGUUCCUACUCGGAACCAGUACCUACCCGGUACCAAUUCUAAAAAAAAACCUGUUUUGUGCCCCUCUGAUAUUCACCAUUGAGCAUUUGGCCGGUGAAGUGAAACCAGUAGAAUGUGAUCUCGGUGACAGCAUUCCCGGCGGCGCAAGAAAUAUAGACGGUAUGAUGAUUCUCAAGGCAAAGAAGACGUGGAAAGAAUCUAUGCUGAAUAAGAUAGUGCAGCUGACAAAAGAAGGUUCAACAAAGGAAACCAAAGCUUCAAAUGUGGUUGGAUCAGUUUGGUGAGAAUUACAGCAGGGUAUGAUGCAACCAUCAAUGAGAUUGAACUUUUUUGCUUCAAAAAGUAGCCGAGCCAAGCAAUAUACACUGUAUACGCUUCAUACACGCUUCAUACAGUACGGUGGCUGAUGAAUGGAGUAUUGGUUUUAUAGCAUAUAUUCUUUUAUGUGGGACCAGGCCCUUUUGGGCCCGAACUAAGUCCCAGAUUUUUUGGGUUGUUUUAAAAGUCCAUUCAAGUUUUAAUGAAGUACCGUGGCCUACGUUAUCCUUUUGAGUCUAAAGUAUUUUGUUAAAUGUUUAUCAAACAAAUAACCUAGGAAAAGAUUGACGACUACUCAAGCAUUGACUAUGUGACUUCCGAUUUGUUGUAUCGUGCUACUUAAAACCUAGGUUUUGAUUAUUUUGAAAUGAUAAGAAUGAAUUUUGUAAGCCA
This is a long non-coding RNA of Helianthus annuus (common sunflower), 3462 nucleotides long. RefSeq lists it as uncharacterized. The record is from RefSeq and is a predicted model, not a curated record. NCBI's taxonomy places the organism in Eukaryota, Viridiplantae, Streptophyta, Magnoliopsida, Asterales, Asteraceae. The transcript has 8 exons.